CCCUUAGACGUUCUGGGCCGCACGCGCGCUACACUGACGAAGGCAACGAGCUUUCCUUUACCGAAAGGUACGGGUAAUCUUUUGAAACUUCGUCGUGCUGGGGAUAGAUCCUUGCAAUUUUUGAUCUUAAACGAGGAAUGCCUAGUAAGCGCAAGUCAUCAACUUGCGUUGAUUACGUCCCUGCCCUUUGUACACACCGCCCGUCGCUACUACCGAUUGAAUGGUUUAGUGAGGCCUUCGGAUCCGCGACUCGUUUGUGGAGAAGUUGGACAAACUCAGUCAUUUAGAGGAAGUAAAAGUCAUAACA
Molecule: ribosomal RNA, 307 nt
Filed under: uncultured eukaryote
Lineage: Eukaryota
Description: partial 18S ribosomal RNA
Rfam family: Eukaryotic small subunit ribosomal RNA
Source: RNAcentral